GGGGUGUUGGCGCAAUUGGUAGCGCUUUCGACUCCAGAUCGAAGGGUUGCGCGUUCAAGUCGCGUACGCCUCA
This is a transfer RNA of Batrachochytrium dendrobatidis JEL423, 73 nucleotides long. It matches the Rfam family "tRNA". Rfam says of the family: Transfer RNA (tRNA) molecules are approximately 80 nucleotides in length. Their secondary structure includes four short double-helical elements and three loops (D, anti-codon, and T loops). Further hydrogen bonds mediate the characteristic L-shaped molecular structure. tRNAs have two regions of fundamental functional importance: the anti-codon, which is responsible for specific mRNA codon recognition, and the 3' end, to which the tRNAs corresponding amino acid is attached (by aminoacyl-tRNA synthetases). tRNAs cope with the degeneracy of the genetic code in two manners: having more than one tRNA (with a specific anti-codon) for a particular amino acid; and 'wobble' base-pairing, i.e. permitting non-standard base-pairing at the 3rd anti-codon position. The record is from Rfam. NCBI's taxonomy places the organism in Eukaryota, Fungi, Chytridiomycota, Chytridiomycetes, Rhizophydiales.